RNAcentral lists this ribosomal RNA (419 nucleotides) under Microsporidia sp. clade VIII. Its description in RNAcentral is "SSU rRNA". It matches the Rfam family "Eukaryotic small subunit ribosomal RNA", at positions 1341 to 1791 of the family's 1831-position model. Lineage: Eukaryota; Fungi; Microsporidia. The record is from RNAcentral.
CCUCUGCCGCGUGCGAAAUGUGGUAAUGCGUAAGUGUUACUAGUAUUCUCCACGCGGGACUGGCCGCGGUUAGCGGCAGGAAGUGGGAGGCAAUAACAGGUCUGUGAUGCCCUUAGAUGUUCUGGGCUGCACGCGCGCUACACUGGUGGAGGCAGCGAGUGGCUUGCGCUGGAAGGCGUGAGGAAGCUUGUGAAGCUCCAUCGUGCUGGGGAUAGACCAUUGCAAUUGUUGGUCUUCAACGAGGAAUUCCUAGUAAGGGCCGGUCAUCAGGCGGCCCUGAUUACGUCCCUGCCCUUUGUACACACCGCCCGUCGCUACUACCGAUUGAAUGGCUUGGUGAGGUUUUUGGACUGGCGGGGUGGGAGACUGCUUGGCUGGGAAAUUGGCCAAACUUGGUGAUUUAGAGGAAGUAAAAGUCG